RNAcentral lists this ribosomal RNA (462 nucleotides) under uncultured bacterium. RNAcentral's name for it is "partial 16S ribosomal RNA". It matches the Rfam family "Bacterial small subunit ribosomal RNA", at positions 28 to 507 of the family's 1533-position model. The record is from RNAcentral.
GAUGAACGCUGACAGAAUGCUUAACACAUGCAAGUCUUUGGCGAAGCUGUGCUUGCACAGCCUAGCCAAGGCGGACGGGUGAGUAACGCGUAAGGAACUUGCCCUGCAGUCAGGGAUAACAGACGGAAACGACUGAUAAGACCUGGUAAAGUCAGGCGGACUCAUGUCCAGCCUGAUGAAAGGAGAUGCUGCAGGAGAGCCUUGCGUCCUAUUAGCUUGUUGGUGGGGUAACGGCCCACCAAGGCGAUGAUAGGUAGCCGGCCUGAGAGGGUGGACGGCCACAAGGGGACUGAGAUACGGCCCUUACUCCUACGGGAGGCAGCAGUGGGGAAUAUUGGACAAUGGGGGCAACCCUGAUCCAGCAAUUCUGUGUGCACGAUGAAGGUUUUCGGAUUGUAAAGUGCUUUCAGCAGGGAAGAAAAAAUGACGGUACCUGCAGAAGAAGCGACGGCUAAAUACGUG